AGCGAACGCUGGCGGUAGGCUUAACACAUGCAAGUCGAGCGGGCCCUUCGGGGUCAGCGGCAGACGGGUGAGUAACGCGUGGGAACGUGCCCUUCGGUUCGGAAUAACCCUGGGAAACUAGGGCUAAUACCGGAUACGCCCUUAUGGGGAAAGGUUUACCGCCGAAGGAUCGGCCCGCGUCGGAUUAGCUUGUUGGUGAGGUAACGGCUCACCAAGGCGACGAUCAGUAGCUGGUCUGAGAGGAUGAUUAGCCACACUGGGACUGAGACACGGCCCAGACUCCUACGGGAGGCAGCAGUGGGGAAUAUUGGACAAUGGGGGCAACCCUGAUCCAGCCAUGCCGCGUGAGUGAUGACGGCCUUAGGGUUGUAAAGCUCUUUUACCCGGGACGAUAAUGACGGUACCGGGUGAAUAAGCCCCGGCUAACUUCGUGCCAGCCGCCGCCGUAA
RNAcentral lists this ribosomal RNA (449 nucleotides) under uncultured bacterium. RNAcentral's name for it is "partial 16S ribosomal RNA". It matches the Rfam family "Bacterial small subunit ribosomal RNA", at positions 29 to 523 of the family's 1533-position model. The record is from RNAcentral.